This is a long non-coding RNA of Passer domesticus (house sparrow), 3969 nucleotides long. RefSeq lists it as uncharacterized. Lineage: Eukaryota; Metazoa; Chordata; Aves; Passeriformes; Passeridae. The transcript has 4 exons. The record is from RefSeq and is a predicted model, not a curated record.
ACAAGGCUGGUGAGGGGCUUGGAACACAAGGCCUGUGAGGAACAACUGAGUGAGCUGGGGGUGUUUAGCCUGGAGAAAAGGAGACUCAGGGGUGACCUUAUCACUCUCUACAACUCCCUGAAAGGUGGCUGUAGCCAGCUGCACAGCUGUAGUCUACAGAUGGAAGCUUAAAGAGCAAGGAGAACACCACCACCAUCCUUUUUAACAGCUUGCGGCAUCCCUAGAUUAGAUGGUCUGCAAAAAACCUAUGAUAAAGAGGCUUUCCACAGUACUUUAAACUAUGCUGCUCCAGAAGGUGCAGGGAACAAGAUGUCAAGGCAUCUAGUCAUUUUAUAAACAGUGUAAGAGGAGAAAAUUAAAGUUGGAGCCAGGUGAUUCUACACUACAGACUACUCCUCAGGUUUACUAACCAGAAUUUUUCGUUCCUUGCUCAAAUUUGUUCACAUCAAGUCCUGCAGAGAUACAGAGCAAAGAUUCCAUUUUGGCAUGUAAAGACCUGAAGCUGAGGUAAGGUAAUGAUGGUAUUCCCAUAGACCUUGAAAGAUCUGAUCAAAUAUAUCCACACGAGUCAAGAUGGUAAAAAUAUAAAGCAUCAAAUCCAACACAAAGCAGAAGCCCAGUCACUCACUCUAAUACAGAGAGAAGAAUAUGAGGUAACAUUCAAAGCAGAUGAAGGCCCAAGCUCUCUACUGUUAAAGGAAAUAAAAUUAUGCUGCCUCUAUCCACUUCUAAUGCCCCUCACAUAUGCUAUCCAUAUCUCCAUAUCAAUACCAUGACUAAGCACUGAGAAAGACAAAAAACACAGAUAACUCUUUCUGCUAUUAAGCCCCUUCCUCUGAGAAUCCUCAAGGGGUAUUUAUGGUGGGAUCAGAGUUACUGGAUGUGCAAAUUUCUACUUAAGAUAAAACAUGCUAAAACAACAGGAGCGAAAACAACCAAAGAGAAAACAAAAUUCAUUUAUGCAUGCAUUCAUUUUAAGAACUUGCUUAAACAGAUUAUUGUGCAUCAUUUUGUCACAAACAAGGAUUUGGAGAGAACUGGGCAUAAUGUUUGCUGUGUUGUGACACAGAAAAUUAAAAUCAUAUUUUUUUUCCUCUAAUUCUCCACAAAUAUCUUACUCAGGAGAGAGUACUUUGCUGACAGAAGCAGCAAUUGCCAGUAGCUCAGAGAUGCAGAAUUUUAGGCAUGAUAGCUCUAACCAUGUAGUCUCAGUCCCAGCCUUGGUAGGACCAACAGAAAGGGGUUUCCAAGGUUCAUGUGAGCCACUUAAAACAACUGGAAGGAAAUGACAAGUGAUAGAUAGAGGAACAUUGCUGUCCACUACAGGGGCCAGAAGCCUCAUAUCUGCUGAUCAGAUUUAUCAUUUAGGGAGAUUUGCUGCUUGUGUAGGGCUUUCAUUGACCAUGCUGUGGAGAGGCUACCAAGGCUUAUCUGGUCUUCUACUAUGCAGUGGUGCCUUUUCACGUGUGCCAAAGACACCACCAAGGGUGACCUGAAAAUUAUCAAGUGUAACUAGCAGGCUAGAGGGGAGCUGCUGAAGAGUGUGGACACGGAAGUGAUUUUCUCCAUUGUGCCCAAAGAGGCCUCAGAAGAAAUUGUGCAUGAACCACUGGUUGCAGAGCUGCUUCUCAUAGCAGACUUCUGAUUCCCACAACUGUGGCAGCCAUGGUGAGAAUUGGAAGAACAUAACCAGGUUCUAAGGAGAGGGAAAGCUAGCAGAGCAAAACAGAUAUUGUUGAGGUAGAUAAGCACAUACCUACUGUAUACCAGAUUAGGGAGGAUCAAAACAGGGAGAAGCAGGUUAAGGUGUGCUUCAAUGUCCUGUAUGUACACAUAUUUGUGGAACCACAUGGGUAUGACCCAAGUGUGCUGAGGCAGGUGAAGUGGCAUUGCAAGGCCGCUCUCAGUGUUCUUUGAAAGGUGGAGGUGAGUCAGAAAAGUUGCAAAUGACUGUCAGCCCUGCCUUCUAACCGUGUAAGGAAGAAGAUGAAUGAUCUACAGCUUCAUGCAAUCCUUUGGAAGAUGUUGGAGAAAAUCCUCUUGGAGAGCAUUUACAAAAGCAUGAAGAAUCAGAAGGUACUCAGGAGUAGUCAGCCUGGAUUUCUGAGCAGAAAACCAAAAACUGUUUACAAAACAAAUCCAAAGCUGUUGAACCUCUCCCUUAGUGACCUGCAGGAUGGGACAGCACAGACUCAAGCAAAUUUAGAGAGCAUAUAAAAGUGGAAGGAGUGGAAAGUGCAGUAGACAGCUGUGCUGCACUUCAGAGGAACCUCAAGCAGCAAAAUGCAGAGCUGGACAGGGAGGAAUGUGAUAAAGCACAGCAAGAGCAAUUGCACCAUCCUGCAGGUAAGGGGGAGUAGCUCCACACACUGGCACAAGCUGGGGACUUGUGAAGCUGACAAGCAGCUUUGCAGAGAAGUUCUGUGAGGUCCUUCUGGACAUUAAGCUGAGCUUGAACCAGCAGCACUGGCCUUUUGCAAAAAUGACCAUUACUAUCCUUAGCUGUAUUUAGAAGUGCAUUAAGAGCAGCUCAGGGGAAUUUGUCCUUCCUGUACCUUCAGUGCUAGUGAGGCGUGCUAAGUCCAGUCCUAAGCUCCCCGUACAGACAAGUUGUAGACAGACCGCAGUGGCUCCAGCACAAGCUCAGAGAUCGUGCUCUGAAAUAGUGCUGCAGCAUGUCCAAGGGGCAAUUCCUGAUUCUGCAACUUCACUUCAGUGCCCCCCUGCAGCUCGCAUCCACCCUGUCCUAGGGAUGGAUGCUACCCAGCCCAAGACAACAAGGGUGAUCUGCUGCUUCCCACUGCAGAGCAAACGAGAGGGCAUCAUGUCCAUGCUCUCCUCUCCUUGCAGCUCCUUGAGAACACCAAGGGUACAGCCUUGCAAGAAGAGAAGUAAAAUGAGAAUGAAAACUACUGUCUAGGUUUUAUUUUGCAGUUGACAGCUGCCCUGGAGUAGAGGGUGAAGAUGUGAAGUGUUGUGUUUCUAAAUCCAGCAGGCAAGCUAACACUACAGGGCUGUGUUUUACUCUGUCUUUGAGGUUAAACAGCCCAUAACACCAGAGUUGCAAAGGCGCUGCAGGCUCUUCCUCCCACAAAAAUGUGCCUGCUGCUGGCUUUUUCUAGGCUUUGUUCUGAGCAGUGAGACUGUAUCAGCCCCUGAGGAGGGACACAGUGCCUGCCCAGGCACUCUCACCAGCACAAGGUUCCUUACAAGACCAGGAGGUCACAGUGUCCUGAUGACAUGGCAGAUGCACAUAAGUUCCCAGCACAGUCUUCCUACAGCAAUUUCCACCAUUGUUUCUCCUUACACUGCCCUAAAAUGUGCUAAAAAAACCAUUUAAAAUUACAUCGUAAAUGCAGCCAUGAGCAUUUCCAUGCCCAAAGCUGUAACAGAUCAACAAACCACUGCGGUGAAAGACAGCUCCGAGGACAUGAGCACAAGCGAUGGUUCUUCAGAUUUCCAUCACCAUGGGCUACCAUGCCCAUGGGAAUCAGAGGAAAACAAAGCAAAACAAAAACAACAAAAUGAGCUUUAAAGAGACUACCGACUUGAGCUGGCUUCAGACCACACAUUUUUUCCUGGUGACUGGAAAUACCCAGCAUCAUGACAGUAAGCGUAAUUGGAAUUUUGCUUGUAUUGUGACCUAGCUGCAGGUUGCAGGUACUGUCUCAUGCUUUGUCCAUGCUGCUUCAGUCUGCUAAAUCAAAAUGCUGUCUUCAAAUAAGUAAAUUUGGUAAUAACGCAUUCAACCCUCUUCAUGUGGAAUAUCUAAAAGAGCCUGGUCCGAGUUGUACUGCACAAGAACCAAGAUUGCAAGACAGCAGCAAACACCUCACCACACAGAAUGCAUCUCCAGCAGGACUGAGUUCACUCAAGGCAACACACACAGCAAUUCAGAACAGUGUGCAAUGGCCGCCCCUUUGUGGCAUCAAGGGCAACUAGGAACGACGUAAAAAGGGCCAUCUGCAU